This 440-nucleotide ribosomal RNA is filed under the name uncultured bacterium. RNAcentral's name for it is "partial 16S ribosomal RNA". It matches the Rfam family "Bacterial small subunit ribosomal RNA", at positions 338 to 795 of the family's 1533-position model. The record is from RNAcentral.
CCUACGGGAGGCAGCAGUGGGGGAUAUUGCACAAUGGGGGGAACCCUGAUGCAGCGACGCCGCGUGGGUGAAGGAGCGCCUCGGCGCGUAAAGCCCUGUCAGCAGGGAAGAAAAUGACGGUAACUGAAGAAGAAGCCCCGGCUAACUACGUGCCAGCAGCCGCGGUAAUACGUAGGGGGCAAGCGUUAUCCGGAUUUACUGGGUGUAAGGGGGGCGCAGACGGCGAUGCAAGCCAGGAGUGAAAGCCCGGGGCCCAACCCCGGGACGGCUCUUGGAACUGCGUGGCUGGAGUGCAGGAGGGGGAGGCGGAAUUCCUGGUGUAGCGGUGAAAUGCGUAGAUAUCAGGAGGAACACCGGUGGCGAAGGCGGCCUGCUGGACUGCAACUGACGUUGAGGCCCGAAAGCGUGGGGAGCAAACAGGAUUAGAUACCCUGGUAGUC